This is a long non-coding RNA of Oncorhynchus tshawytscha (Chinook salmon), 1496 nucleotides long. The record is from Ensembl. NCBI's taxonomy places the organism in Eukaryota, Metazoa, Chordata, Actinopteri, Salmoniformes, Salmonidae.
CAAGGAGUCAUCAUGCCAGGUAGUUCUGAGGCAUGGUCCUCCGAGAGAGAGAAAGAAAGAGAGAAUUAGAGCAUACUUAAAUUCACACAGGACCCCGGAUAAGACAGGAAAAGUACUCCAGAUAUAACAAACUGACCCUAGCCCCCCGACACAAACUACUGCAGCAUAAAUACUGGAGACUGAGACAGGAGGUGUCAGGAGACGCUGUGGCCCCAUCCAAUGAUACCCCCGGACAGGGCAAACAGGAAGGAUAUAACCCCACCCACCUUGCCAAAGCACAGCCCCCACACCACUAGAGGGAUAUCUUCAACAACCAACUUACCAUCAUGAGAGAAGGUGGAGUAUAGCCCACAAAGAUCUCCGCCACAGCACAACCAAAGGAGGGGCACCAACCCAGACAGGAAGAUCACGUCAGUGACUCAACCCACUCAAGUUAUGCACCCCUCCUAGGGACGGCAUGAAAGAGCACCAGUAAGCCAGUGACUUAGCCCCUGUAAUAGGGUUAGAGGCAGAGAAUCCCAGUGGAGAGAGGGGAACCGGCCAGGCAGAGACAGCAAGGGCAGUUCGUUGCUUCAGAGCCUUUCCGUUCACCUUCACACUCCUGGGCCAGACUACACUCAAUCAUAUGACCCACUGAAGAGAGGAGUCUUCAGUAAAGACUUAAAGGUUGAGACCGAGUCUGCGUCUCUCACAUGGGGAGGCAGACCAUUCCAUAAAAAUGGAGCCCUAUAGGAGAAAGUCCUGCCUCCAGCUGUUUGCUUAGAAAUUUACACAAAUCAGACACGGACAUUAUUGUAUUAGCUCGGUUUUACGGCUCUUUCUUUAUUUUUUUAAACAAAGGGAAAAUAAUAGGUCCUCCAGCAUAUCAUCUUCUGUGCUCCGGGGUCUUGCUGUAUCCUGUGGGGAACAAAACUAAACUCCCUCUUUUAUCUCUUGUACUGAGCAUGACUAUACAGAAGUAACCUCUCUUCCCCAGUCCCCACCCCCAUAUGCUGCCCUUUUGGCAGCUUUGUGGUACUUGUCCAGCUGGUGAGCAAUCAGCCCCUUGAUUACUCACCAACCACAAUCAGCCCCAAUUAGUCCUGGCCGGAGAGCCCUUCGAGACCUGGCACGUCCAGCAGAGAGACCCAUCGCCGCGUGAUGUCGACUCCAUCUGUCACCAGGCCUCGACAAAUCUCCCCCUGGUGGCCAACCUGCGACAUCAUCAUGAUCACCCACCCAUAUGCCACUGAGUCUGCUGUCCUGCACCUGAUGGUCAACGUACUGAAUACGCCCCAGACAGACAUGGAGGGGGAGGCCUACAAAACAGUUGUGGCGAACCUGUUUUGUUCUUUUGUAGUUUUGCAUAGUUUUCACUGUCAUUCACACACACAGAUUCACGCAUCAUGCCCUUUACAUACACCUUACAUUAUGAUACUUCCACACCUCAUUCCUUUUUCUUAGUUUAAAGUUAAUAGUUUUGUUUACAAUAAAGAACAUUUUUUAAUUGGCCUAUA